UCUCACUCUUUUCCAGGCUCCUUGGGGGUCGCUGCCUUGAUGAUAACAUGGUCUUCCCUUUGAGGAAGCCACGUUUCUAAGAGGGCUCUGGCGUAUGCAUUGGGCCUCUGUGAGGUUUUAAUGAAUGAAGGCUGAAGAAACUCCACAGAGAUGGUGACUUGCCCCCAGCACAGCUCUUGCCCUCAAGGAAGAGACACUCGAGCAAACAGGCAACUGGAAACAGGAUGGCUUCGUGGGCUUAUGUGACUUACACAGGGCCCUGCACUCAGAAGAAUCACGUACUGACUUAGGCUCUGCAGCUGCCAUCUUGAAAUUCUUAAUAACUUUUGAACGGUAUUGGGGGUGGCAUUGGCGGGGACGGUCCACACUUUCAUUUUGCACUGGGCACCACAAAUUAUGUAGCCGGCUCUGAUUAAAAUGCUACAAGAACUAA
Long non-coding RNA from Symphalangus syndactylus (siamang), 433 nucleotides. RefSeq lists it as uncharacterized. The record is from RefSeq and is a predicted model, not a curated record. NCBI's taxonomy places the organism in Eukaryota, Metazoa, Chordata, Mammalia, Primates, Hylobatidae.